AACGAACGCUGGCGGCAUGCCUAACACAUGCAAGUCGAACGAGACCUUCGGGUCUAGUGGCGCACGGGUGCGUAACGCGUGGGAACCUGCCCUUAGGUUCGGAAUAACUCCCCGAAAGGGGUGCUAAUACCGGAUAAUUUCUUCGGACCAAAGAUUUAUCGCCUUUGGAUGGGCCCGCGUUGGAUUAGCUAGUUGGUAGGGUAAAAGCCUACCAAGGCGACGAUCCAUAGCUGGUCUGAGAGGAUGAUCAGCCACACUGGGACUGAGACACGGCCCAGACUACUACGGGAGGCAGCAGUGGGGAAUAUUGGAAAAUGGGCGAAAGCAUGAACCAGCAAUGCCGCGUGAGUGAUGAAGGCCUUAGGGUAGUAAAGCUCUUUUACCCGGGAUGAUAAUGACAGUACCGGGAGAAUAAGCUCCGGCUAACUCCGUG
RNAcentral lists this ribosomal RNA (433 nucleotides) under uncultured bacterium. Its description in RNAcentral is "partial 16S ribosomal RNA". It matches the Rfam family "Bacterial small subunit ribosomal RNA", at positions 29 to 507 of the family's 1533-position model. The record is from RNAcentral.